CUGCCUUGGUAGCCGCCGCCGCCGCCGCCGCCGCCGCCGUCGCCGCUGCCGCUACGCGCGUUCCCUUCGCGACCGAAUUAACUGGUACCAGAACAGAGGAGAAGCAUAUCAGCGAAACGCGGCGACAGGACAACAAGGCAAAGCCACUUAUUUAGCCAGCCAGUCAACGCCGUUGCGCGCCGUCGAAGGCAGAGUCCUGCUCAUGUCAUCCUCGUUGUUACAGGACGCCUGCGACAGAAGCAGUAAGUGGUGAUAUAGCAAGAACAACGUGACACACUCUCGCGCGCUCGAGUUGCACGAAAUCGUGACGCGGACGCAGUAGCCGUCGUGCGGAUGCGGACGGCCGGCCGGCAUCAGCCACAGCUGCAACAGUAAAGUGGUGGUAAAUUGCUGCUAGUUUUCCUCGUUAUUUCUGGUGCCACCGUUGCAUUGGUGUCGGUUAUAGUGAUAGUUCGCGCACAAAGCGCAAACGGAGCGCGUGUAGGACCCGCUGGCGUCUUCGGCACUCUCUGGGAUCUACCUAACGCGAGUGCCUACAGUUAGGCAGCACAGCGUACCUAGAGCAAUUACGCGGCUGGUAGCAGCGGCGGUGGCGGCUGUUGCAAUACUGGAAACGGUGCCGCUCUGGUUAUCGCUAUCACCAGCACUAACAGCGUGUAAAAGCGUGACUACACUUUCUAAUGAGAGAUACGAGGGCGGGUGGGAGGCUGGUCAGGUAGGCAGGCAAAAGUGAGCCAGGCAACAGGCGGAAAAGCGAUGAGAAAGGUUUCUGUGCAACGAUGACUGAUGCCGCAUAAAAAGCAGUAGCAGUGGGGACCUGCAAUGGAAAACAGAGCCUAUCUGUAAUUAGCGAGACUAGUGCGCGCUAAGGGAUAUUACGCAAGUUCAAUUUAAAGUUAAUUUGGCCGAUUACGAGCAGAUAUCCAGCUAUGUUCAUCUAGCUGGUCUUCCGUUCUGCCAGCGCCACCGUAUUCGUAACGCGGCCAAAGGCUGUUGCUUUGCACGCACAGAACGAAGAGUGUACCGCUGGCCGAGUGCCACUAAUCGUCUAUUACUUUCGCUAGUGUACACCGACAUCACUGAUAUUUUUACUGCCCCUUGCGUUUAUCUAUGCAUUGAAAUUGCGGACGUGCUCUCGAUGACGCCUUGUUCUUGCCAAGAAACAAAAGGGAAAAUAAUAGUAAGGCGACAGAUGUCGAUAGUGAUUUUUAAUAGACCUAACGUAUCAGCCAAAAGGUAUUUUCGACCGUAGCAAUCAGAGGAGGUACAUGGACCGCACGAGGCUAGUUAAUACUACCUACCAAUCCCAAAUGACACCCGGUGGCAUGAAGCAUGACUGUGUGCUGGCGUAGGACAAGGUUGAUUGAACUAAUAUUGCAGUAAUUUUCUAAUCUACUGAUGCGUUCUACUGCCACACUAGAUCUUAAAUCUGUCCUGCUAGUCUUUGUGUUCCGUGUACUGAUUAACGCACCUAUCAGUGUAUAUCGCCUACCUUAGGAUUAAGUUUGUAGACCCCCCCCCCUCUCUCCCCCCUCUCUCUCUCUCGUCUUACUGGUGAGCAGCUCGCAGUGGGUGGAUGGAUGAAUUACAAGUGAACGGACCUGUAGUUUCUUUCUCCAUUUGUGGGCGGUAAAUGCGCGCGCGUCUACCAGCAACGUGUUAUACAUUCAAAUGCGUAUAACAACCGGGCCUGUAUUUAAUAAACGCCACUAAGUUUCUCAUCGGAAACGGACUCUCCCCUUCACUGAAUCUACCUAUACGUUAAGUGCUAAUGGAAGUAACGUUGGGUGUUCGCUUAUUUUCUCAUACUUGAAUUCUAUGACUUAAGUAGCGACCAACAGAGCUAUUUGAGGGUGAAGAUGGACUUUACGACGGCAGGACGGGUUGACGGACAAAAGGACGUACGCGACAAGGAAAGGCAACAGGUUAACAAGCUUGAAUUUAACUAGUGUGAUACUGCUGGGUUAGCUUAAAAGAGACCCGCAAAAUAGAAGUUUAGCGUUCGGUGCUAGGUUACCGGCAAAUGUCCCGUCGGGUUGACAGGUUGCAACGACAACAACUGCGCAGGCAUCAAAGGUCAUGGCGUUAUAGUGACACAACAACAUCAAGAACUCAACAUAAAGCCAAACACGAGCCACCGGUAUUUAGGGACAGCACGUUUCGCUCAUCCAACAAACAAAGGCAAAGUAAUAGUUGCAACACGUCAAUGUUCCUCCUGUAUGCGGCAAUAACUGGCACAACUGAGGGCUCCUGCUGCCCCCUCAAAAAGAUAACAGAGAAGGAAAUAAUGGUAAACACAAAUGUCAAACUUAUUCUUAUUCGUGAACAAGCCCAAAAGUAUAAAACACCCAAACGAGCGUAGAUCUCGGGACGUUAGCACUUGAGGUCUGUAGCAAUGGCAACAUGAGGUCAAAACUUGAGAGCGCCGCGCACACAAAAGUUAACUGCUGACACUUCAGAGGAGUGCAAGAAGCCGACAAAGCAGCGGGCUUCUGCUGGACGACUGUGCCGGAGCUCACGAACCAAGCGAGACGCUCCUGUUUCGAACGAGAAUCACAGCCGCUGCAGCUGCCAAAAGGGCAAUGGUAAGAGUUGGUUACACUAUACCCAUGAAAGUUCAAAGAAUCGCGACCGUCGAUUUUGUUUACCCACUCGGAGACACGAAAUUGUGGUGACGAUGUAGAUAAUGCCACAUUUCUUAAUAAUCCUUCUUGAAAGGCGUACUAGUUGGUACUAAUUCUUUACUUAGCUACCUAGCUAAAACUAUCCUAACUAAAAAAUAAUACUCUGUCUAUAAGUAUCGAUAAAAAUGCUUAUAUCUAAAAAGCGACACAAAGUAUGUUUUCGAAAUAGUUCAUCAUAGUUUUAGCAAUUAUGCCUAAUAUCGUCGUUACAAUUGAUCGCAUAUACAUCCGUAGCCAUGUUGGA
Molecule: long non-coding RNA, 2928 nt
Organism: Varroa destructor (honeybee mite)
Lineage: Eukaryota; Metazoa; Arthropoda; Arachnida; Mesostigmata; Varroidae
Source: RefSeq, a predicted model, not a curated record